AUAUUUUUAAUUUAAAUAAUUACAAAAACACACCGGUUUCUCGGUUCGGUUCGGUUUAAAACCGAACCAUACUAAACCAUUCGGGUUAGGAAAAUCUUCAACUGAAUGGUUUGAAAUAGACUUUGGUUCGGUUUGAAUCGGUUUCGGUUCGGUUGGUUCGGUUUGACUCGGUUCGGUUAGGUUUUUUUCACCCUUACUGAAAAGUGAAUUCUGAAUGAACGAUAUCUCAUGUUUUAUUUUUUUUCAAUUUCUUCUUUUAUGUUUUCGAUUUAUCACAAGUAUCAUAGUUCUCAGGUUGGAUAUGAAUAGUAUCACUGGAUAAAUAAUUAACUCUCAGAGGAUCCUUAUGGUCCUAUCAAUAGGAAGAUAAUUCAAAAACUACUCUCCCUAAAAGAUUAUCUUUUAUCCCGACACUACCGUCCAUAAUAACAUACUAAGGUAUUGAUCCUUUGAUGAGGUCUUUCAUUCAUCCACCAACUAAGUUUCCAAUAAAUAUCUCCUUUUGAUUGCUAC
RNAcentral lists this long non-coding RNA (513 nucleotides) under Brassica napus (rape). RNAcentral describes it as "long non-coding RNA (BNAP_LNC020251)". The record is from RNAcentral. Lineage: Eukaryota; Viridiplantae; Streptophyta; Magnoliopsida; Brassicales; Brassicaceae.